GGCUAAAAUCUAAAUAAGAUGGAUGAGAAACUAAACUAUCAUUGACAAAGACAGUUUUACUCAUAAACAUUACAAAUUCGUAUAGUUAUUGUUGAUUCUCCAAUAGUGGUAUAUCGGUGUCAUAUAGAUUUCGGAUGUAAGGAGAUCCUUCAAGGUUGACUGAAGCCUCAUCUGAUUGUUGGAUCUUGAUUCAGCUCAACCCUUAAUAUCACAACUUGAGAUUCUUGGUUCAAAACUUAUGGGCCUGGAUAAUUAAACUAUGGGUGGGUAAUCUCCAACCC
This 281-nucleotide long non-coding RNA is filed under the name Elaeis guineensis (African oil palm). RNAcentral describes it as "long non-coding RNA (EGUI_LNC021272)". The record is from RNAcentral. Lineage: Eukaryota; Viridiplantae; Streptophyta; Magnoliopsida; Arecales; Arecaceae.